UAGGGAAUCUUCGGCAAUGGACGAAAGUCUGACCGAGCAACGCCGCGUGAGUGAAGAAGGUUUUCGGAUCGUAAAACUCUGUUGUUAGAGAAGAACAAGGACGUUAGUAACUGAACGUCCCCUGACGGUAUCUAACCAGAAAGCCACGGCUAACUACGUGCCAGCAGCCGCGGUAAUACGUAGGUUGCAAGCGUUGUCCGGAUUUAUUGGGCGUAAAGCGAGCGCAGGCGGUUUCUUAAGUCUGAUGUGAAAGCCCCCGGCUCAACCGGGGAGGGUAAUUGGAAACUGGGAGACUUGAGUGCAGAAGAGGAGAGUGGAAUUCCAUGUGAAGCGGUGAAAUGCGUAGAUAUAUGGAGGAACACCAGUGGCGAAGGCGGAUCUCUGGUCUGUAACUGACGCUGAGGCUCGAAAGCGUGGGGAGCAAACAGG
RNAcentral lists this ribosomal RNA (429 nucleotides) under Gemmatimonadota bacterium. Its description in RNAcentral is "Gemmatimonadetes bacterium partial 16S ribosomal RNA". It matches the Rfam family "Bacterial small subunit ribosomal RNA", at positions 355 to 776 of the family's 1533-position model. Lineage: Bacteria; Pseudomonadati; Gemmatimonadota. The record is from RNAcentral.